Culex pipiens pallens (northern house mosquito) is the source of this 6108-nucleotide long non-coding RNA. RefSeq lists it as uncharacterized. The transcript has 3 exons. Lineage: Eukaryota; Metazoa; Arthropoda; Insecta; Diptera; Culicidae. The record is from RefSeq and is a predicted model, not a curated record.
CGGAUUCCUUUCGCGUCUCUAAUCCAAUCCGCGCGAGUUUGGGGUGGUAUUUGUAGGGAGGGAUUGAGGUUAAAAUUCCUAUCCGAAAACACAGCUGCACACACAUCGUUGCGUCUGUGGUGUAUCUUCUCCUCCCAAUGGUUUCUCUCGCGAUCACUUGCUACCCGUCGUCGUCGUCGUUGACUGACUAUCAACUCCUGCUUGAUCAUUACUGUUAUUGAUGUUAUUGCUGUUUGCUCUUGUUGGUAUUGGUAGUGUUGUGUGAAGCGGCAUGCUGGAGUGUAUCAAACACACCAACUGUCCGUCCGUUUGUUCGUCCAUUCGUUUUCUUUGCUUACCUUACACAACCAUCAUCAUCGUUUCGUAUAGCCCGAUGUAAACGAGUGGUGAACAUUCAACAACAAAAAAAUGUGUAUUAAUCCACCUAGGCAACCGAGAACCACUUUAUUCAUCGCGUCGAUAAUUUAUAGCUGCGCGGGCCAACAAUGGUUUACAUCUCAAAAUAAACACGGCCGUUGUUGCUUUUGGAAAUCCAUCCCUAUUGUGUACCGCGUACCUUUCGCCCGCCCGUUAAGAGCUCCAUCGUUCGGGAUAAGCAAGGGGGAGGAGGAGAAAUGCAUACCACCUUAAAGAUGGGUUUUCGGAACAAGCUUAAAUCGUUUCCGCCGACCCGCGAAAAAUGCUCCAUUCAGAACCGACGGUCCGGGCGUGCGGAGUGUGAGCGGAGAGUGUACGUAUGCAUGAAGCGAACUCCACACCACCACCACGACGACGACGACGACGAAGAAGAAUAAAAGGAACAAAUUGUUUUCCCACGGCACACGAUUUGCCGGUCAGCACCGGGCGGGCGGACAGGCAGGCGGGCAGCAGGACCGUGGAGAGCGCGAACGUUGCGCAGCGCAACUUGAAGCAGCAAUCCAGCAAGCAAGAAGAGUGCGAGGUAGCAACGAUAAAAGCGGUGACUUCAGCAGUAUUUGCCUGCCUGGCCUGCCUGCGAAGAAAGGUGAGGUACUUUCUACUCCCUUGGAGUAGCUGGAGGAGGAGGAGGAAGCGCGGGAGUGGGAGUGAGAGCCAGUCAGUGGACCUGUCGUCUCUUAUUCUAGGUAUUGAGCCAAAUCGGAUUUGUUAGUAAAAUGAGGCAACAGUAAAUACCGUGCGUCACAGAAAAUGACCCCAUGGAAAUGCAGCAACGUCGUCGGUCGAGGAUCGCUAAUUAAGUAGGACCGUAAACCUAAUAUUAGAGAUUAGGAUGGUGACCAAAACAGGUGUGGAUGUCAAACUGAAAUAUGGAUUUCCAGAUGAUUUUGUCUAUCUUAGAAAUUUCAAAAACACAAAGCUAAUCAAAGCUAGAUUGUCAUUGCUCUCUUUACAUUUACUGACCCCUCGUUGAUUUGUAAUUACUUUUGACGAUUGAUCGUGAUGGUUCAAAGUAUCCUCUGCAGUCAAAGUUACAAAAUUCCAGAUUCCAAUAUCGUGUAAGUUUGGGAAAAAAUUAACAUUGGAAGCAUAUAUGAUUAGUAAACGGACGGUACCGGGGCAUCCUGGAACCCACCCUGGCGCCAAACGAUCAUUCUUAACGGGUGACCAGCAGCGGGUGGCUCUUUACAAGAUUUCUUCUCUGUGUCAAAUCGACAAGGAGAUCGGAUUCUUUGGCACCUACCUGCUGCUGAUUUGACGUCGUAAGGACUUUCGUCCUUGGAUUUUUUUUUGUAAAUAAAAUUGAUUAUUUUUUUGUAUUUACAAUAAAUUCAGAAGCAAAAUGUUUAUCUACUUUUGAGGUAAAUGAGAAACCCUUUCAUCUUUCUAACAAUGUUUAACGUAUUAAUGUGAUGUUUAUGUUACGUUUCCAAAAAAAAGUCCAAUUAUAUCCAUCCACAAAAAAAACUUCACAUCUUUCUGUUAAUUAGAGUUGAAGUAAUUAAUUGCUUUGUUUGUUAAUUGCCCUUACGUUCACUUUAAUACACCUUACUCGCUGUGCCGUGCUGCUCGAAACGAUGAGAAAUCAACGAGGAGAGAAAAAUAACUCAACUUGAACGGUUCGUUUAUAACGCAAAAUCGAAAUCACGGACGGACGUGGCAACCACCGACCAAUAAGUACCAUCUUGUGUCACUCCGUGUGCUGGGUCGUACCGACGGUGAUCGCUCAUUGAUAACUAAUUCCACGUGUCCGCGCAUGACCCAUCAUCGUCAUCAACAUCGUUGGGCGGAAAACCUUAUUUCCUCGCGGAGCAGAGCAGCGGCGUGCGCGCGGUCGAACGCUUUUCAAUAAAUUACGACUAUAAAAGAGCCGUAAAGCGGCGUGACAACGUUUGCUCACCCUAUCGUGCGCUGUAAAUCGGCUUGCUGCGAUCGUAAACGCGUUCUUUUACAGCCCUAAAAAAUGAGUGACAAGAUUAGGUUGGCUUGUUGUACGAAAAAAGGAAGAUCGAGAGCAAAGUGGAGCUCCGAAUCGCGAGAGUGGUACUUGGGCGCCAGGAAGAUUCCAGCUAGGGAGCCUUUUUGAAGAUCCGAAGUUGGAACAAUGGGGGUGCUCCUACAAUAUUGGAAAGAACUAAAAGACUUAGUGCCAACACGAUUCGGACAUGAUGCCGAUCAAAUUAAUACAAAACAAAAGGAUAUUUCGUCCUUGAGUUUCUUUGAAACCUGUCAGAUGUACUUGUGGAGGACCCAGAGUUGCCGUAGCAAAAAACUCCAAAACGAUCCAAUAAUUGACAUUCAGUGGUGCAGUUCAUCGGUAAACAUAGCUCACCUGACCCUGUCCAUAAUUUCGACAGUCAAGAAACCAACUUUCAUCCUCAAAAAACUCAUUACACAACGUUCAAUCGUGCAACUCUGCACACAUGACUGGACGUUUCAGUUGCAGCCUGACGGCGUGGUCGUUUUUGGUGCGUGACAUUGUUUUAAUUUAUUUCUCGAUGGCAACAAUAUGACUGUGAGUGUUUGAUCAUCUGUCCCGGCAGUCAGUGCGGGGCUGGUGGCGGGACAAACUGGGACUUUCUAGUGAAUGCUUUGAAUGACCUCGAGUCAAUCAUCCCGCGUGUUUUUGGGGGCCCAUUUUGAUUUAUUUUGCUCGCGAAAGUUUCUUGCCGUUUCGUUUGAUCGCGCACAUUUUUAAAGUUUACUCAGGCCGACUGUGUGUUCGUUGCACGUGUGUGAACUCUGACAGGAUAGACGAUGGUUCCAUCUGCCUACAAAAUUCGAAACGUAAAAAAUAAUUCUUUGCUUUUCUUUUUCCGGACCUUUUUCGUCCGUGGUGGCAGCUGCCUUUUUUCAAGCAACUUCAAAUAGAAAUCUGAAAACACGUACAAUCGCGCGCCAACGCCAGCUGAAAAACGGAAAACAUCUGGUGAUCAUUUUUUAUUCUUUUGCUGUUUUUUCCAAGUAUCGUGACGGCCCGCGUGACACUGUUGCGUAUCUUCCUCGCGCACUAAGCGCUGGAGUGAUUUUUAUCAGUUAUUGAAAUAUGAUCAUGAUUGGUGUAACGAAACGAAACGUACAGUCGGAUAUUCCAUAUGCACUCACACGCAUACAAACACACUAGCAAGCAUAGUUUCCGUAAGGCUAAAUGCUACAUCCGUUCAUAAGUUUGCUCGGGUCCUUGCUUUUUUUUUAUGCAGCUCAUCCAGUGGUGCGUCCAACCAUUGAAAUAUGCGCGGGGACCCUUUCAUUCACCACCACCACCAACACAGAGCCAAAUGGCAGCAGGAGCAUUUAAGUGUACAUAAAAACACACUCACACAAAGAGAUAGUUGGACAGAUAGCGCUUCUCCGUCGUACCAGCGCGGCCGGGACGACCGGUAUACGAAAACCUUGCAUUCCUAAUGGAACGACCGACGGAUGGCAGGCAGUCGACGGCACCCAAUACAUUCGAAAGGCCGGGGUCGGGUCUCGGGAGUAGGUAACAGAUGAACAUAAUUGUGACGACGACGAGCGAAAAAAGAAAAUGCUAUAUAGGGGAAAAGCACCUAUUCUCCUUGGGCUGGCCGGCGGUUCUCAGCGGUUAAUUUUCGAUGAGUAGUAGCUCGUUAAAAAGCUCUCUGCUUGGGUCGCGUAAACGCAAUUUUCUUAAAAGCCCAAAACAACGCACGUAAUCGUUGUCAUGUCGUUAUCGUCAUUGUCGCGACAAGAUGGGCUCCAGAACUGAUGGAUUUUAAAUGUGUCAAAAAUAGGUUUGAACCCGAGGCCUUAAUUGGUCGUGCGAACGAACGCGCACUCUAAGUUCAAUUUACCCACAAUUACAGUCGCUGAGUUUAGUUGAGGCAACGGUAGCGCAAAGCACGUGUGGUAAAUUUAUUCAACAUUUCAGACAGGUGAAGUCCAUGAGAGCGGAGUGCUGCUACGGUGCUUUUUCACCAUUAGAGAGCCUCCUUUUGAUGCAGCAACAAAUUGUCUUCAUUCUUGGAGAAAAGAAACUCUUCGACGACUAAUGCAUUGCAACAAAAGGCUCGGGAAUUGCAAGCUCCAUUGCUUCGGCAAGUUGCGCUUCAAGUGGGUGAGAGAUUGGUGUGGAGCUUCAAAUCACGAGUUUGGCUCUCAAGAUUUACUUCUAUUGUUUCCUCAAGCGCGGCGGUGCUGCCAGUAUCAGUUGUCCGGGUCUCCUAAUUUGAUUGGUUUACGGAUCCACAUGUAUCUGGAUAAUACUAAGCAGAGCUACGGAGUUGACCCCGACAGCAACAACAACUCGCAUAAAAGUUUUUGAAAAUUAGUUGGCUGUAACUCACUCACUCACAUUCACUUUUUCUAUGAGCAUAACAAUUUGCAAUAUCCAAAACAAACAAAUGAUAAUCCAAAAAACUGUAUCAGCAUUUUAGAUAAUAAGUUUUCUUAACAAAACCUGAAAAAUUACAUCCGAGAAACGUACUUUUACUAAAACGGUAAUGAAAUAAAGACUCUCCUAUUGAAUAACGCCAUAAAUCUCCAGGUUUAUGGCAGUUUAUCAGGAUUCACAGAUAGUGCGGAGAAUUAUUCGAAUGUACCUAUUUAUAACUGCGUUUAAAUAUAGUCCAGACUGGAUUGUCCGAAGUCAUCGGAAAAAACACUUUGGAUAAUCGAAUCAAACUGCUCAACUGCUAGGGAAUGACAGGAAAAGAAGGUAUUUUUAAAACUGAAUUGCAAAUAUUUUUUAAAACGAUUUGAUCAUCCUAAGUUCCUUUGAAACUGUUUCAAGGUACCUCAACAUAUCCGAAUAAACCCCCCAAAUAAAGUAAAAACUAAAAAUAAAUUCAAGCUGUUAAAACUUGAAAGAUUUAAAACAAAAAUCUAUUCCGAAUAUCUCAAGCAUAUUGUGAUGCAUCACAGGUGUGUAGUGUGCAGACACUGUUGGUGCAGGUACCUUACCCGGUCGCAUGCAGACGACGCGGACCGAGAAGAGCGCGAGAAUUUUUAACCAAAACAGUUAAAUGAACGGACGUAAAACGAUUCUCGAAGGAGAGGUCCCAAAAGGAAAGAAGGAGGAAAAAUCGUGCAGUUUUUCAAGUUUUGCAGCCUGUUUUCGUUGUGUUCCCAUGAUUGAGAAUAUUUUUUUUCUCGCUCUCGUGUGUUGUUUUAUUUGUUUGUCCUGGGCUUUCGAGCGUCCCUCAACCCACCAGCACCCCCUUCUCCCCCGUUAAAAUUGGGCGCAGGGAGGAAGACAGAUGAACUUCGGGACCGCUGCGGCACAUAUGGAGCGCUCUUCCCGCGGGCUCGAAACUGGUUUAUUUUUACAAUCGCGAGCGAGCGCGAGGACCUAAAAUCAUUUACAGUUUAAUAUCAGAUGGAAGUUGAUGCGACACUUUGCUGCAGGCUCUCCAAACAAACCCUCAUGCAAGUACUGCGCGGGGAAAGCGCCAAUUGGUUCUUGCUUGUAUUUUGGAGCCGGCCGGCCGGCAUUCUCUGGCCGGAGAAGAGCAAGCGAACGAUACCGCAACUUUCUUUUGCUAUAGCGAGGCAAUGCAUGCAAUGAUAUUUAAUUAUGCUCGGGUGUCUCCAAUGCAAAUUAGGCCCGGUUUUUUUUUUUUUGAGUUAUCAUUACUGAGCUGAUCAAGUUUUACCAAUCAAUAAGGCUUUCAUCAUAAUUCUGUGUUUCCUGUUGUGCACACGACUUCUUUUUAUGGUUUUGAUAAGAGUGCU